This 381-nucleotide ribosomal RNA is filed under the name uncultured bacterium. RNAcentral describes it as "bacterial SSU rRNA". It matches the Rfam family "Bacterial small subunit ribosomal RNA", at positions 29 to 400 of the family's 1533-position model. The record is from RNAcentral.
AACGAACGCUGGCGGCGCGCCUAAUACAUGCAAGUCGAGCGAGAAGACGUAGCAAUACGUUUGUAAAGCGGCGAACGGGUGAGGAAUACAUGGGUAACCUACCCUCGAGUGGGGAAUAACUAGCCGAAAGGUUAGCUAAUACCGCGUACGCUCCUUGGACUUCGGUUCAGGGAGGAAAGCGAUACCGUGGGUAUCGCGCUCUUGGAUGGGCUCAUGUCCUAUCAGCUUGUUGGNGAGGUAACGGCUCACCAAGGCUUCGACGGGUAGCUGGUCUGAGAGGACAAUCAGCCACACUGGCACUGCGACACGGGCCAGACUCCUACGGGAGGCAGCAGUAAGGAAUAUUGCGCAAUGGGCGAAAGCCUGACGCAGCGACGCCGC